Meriones unguiculatus (Mongolian gerbil) is the source of this 3397-nucleotide long non-coding RNA. RefSeq lists it as uncharacterized. The transcript is spliced from 4 exons. The record is from RefSeq and is a predicted model, not a curated record. NCBI's taxonomy places the organism in Eukaryota, Metazoa, Chordata, Mammalia, Rodentia, Muridae.
CACACCCGGAGGCCCAGGGCCUUGUCUGGCCCGGACAAACUCUGUAGCCCCCACUGCAGCUCAGGUGGGGAAAGCUUGGUAGAGCCUUGCCUUUUCAUCCACGGGGCGAACAGCCAGCCCUGCCCAAAGCAAAGGGCAGCAGCUCCCGCAGCUAGGCAAGGGCCAGACUCUCAAAAUGAUGCCCAGUGCUCUCAGGUGCCCGCCUCUACCCAAGCGGUUUCUCAAGGACCACUUCCGGCUGCUACUCUUUUGUUCAGUUAGUUUUAAUUUACAGGGGCUGAAGGAGGGAACUGCCGAGGCCUGGGGUGGUGGUACAACCUGCCCCAAUCUUUUAGGCCUGUGUAGGUUACAAGACUUCAUGGGAAGAUGAGUUUGAGCGGUGGCGAAGAGGAGGAACCUGGCUUUUUCCAAUAGUGGCUUCUCCUGUGAUACAGCAGGGGCAAGGAGUUAACUGUUUGGGCUCCGGGUGCCCCUUUGCCACAGGUCACCCUAACCCUAAACCAGCUGACCCCUUUAAACCUGGUUGCUGCGCGGUGACCCUCUCCAAGGCCCUCCACUGGGUUCUCCAGAGAAAAGCCGUCCAUUCCUCUCCACAGGCCGAGGACUCAGCAGUGCUCUGAGGCCAAUCGGCUUUAGGCUUGCUGUGGGAAGGACUAGGAUGGCGGCGGGGCGGUUCUUCUCAAACCCUGCCAUCAUCCUUAGGGAUCAGCCUACUUGAAUGCCUGGUGCCUCUAUAAGCCCCCAAAGGGAGUCUCAGUCCAGCCUUGGACUGAGAACCCGGAAGGAGAAGAGUCACACACAGGCCGGAGUUCUGGAGUACAAGAACAGGGGACUUGGAGUCUGAGCGAGGCCCAGAGGAGGGGACCUGCCUGCCGCCCUCAGCCCUCAGCCUCUUUGGCAACCGGGCCUCUCCAUAGCAACGGCUAUGUGUAAGCAGCGCCUCCUCCUCCUUCCCCCCUCCUCCCUCUCCUCCUUCUCUCCCUCCUCCUCAUCCUCCCUCUCUCCUCUUUUUACCCCCCUUUCCUGUCCACCCCCACUGGACUUGGAGAUGACAGAAUACUGGGACGGGGACACAGACUUCUCUAUGACGAGAAGCUCUGUCUCCCAGGUACCUUGCGUACCCUUAGGGUGAGCGAAUGCAUCACGUACCCAGGGCAAGGGCGCUCACCCUUUGCUUGCCCACUGCUCUCCUUUGGCUCCCCUACUGCGGUUACAGUGUCCUAAGGUCAUGGGGGUGGGCGCAGCGGGGGAACACAGGGGCCUGCAGCCCAGGGCGAGACCUGCACUACGCCCAGGAGAUCUGGGCGGGGCAGCGGAGUCGGGGCGCGCGGGUCCUGCUUAUAGGAACUCGCACAGCCUGCAGGAUGUUCGCGGGCCUUGUGCUCCGGCCCAGAGCCAGGGUUCGGCUAGAGGCGAAGCACCUAGAGUACCCUAAAGGAGGCACACUCCAAGAUGCUGCUCAGCACCACCCCACUUGCUCUCUUCGCCUUUGAUGGUCCCGAGCCACAAGCAGGUGUGGGGCACAGUCCCUUUGCUCCAAGUGGCAGGGACCCCUCGCGGUUACUUCGGACGAAUAGCUGGAGAAGACCAGAGCCCAGAGCAGAGGCAGGCCCGAGCCGAGCGCGCUGCCCAGGCAGCCAGGAAGCUUGGUUUUCCACAGGCAUCAAAAGACCUGGAAAUCCGCCCAUCUUUGGGAGAACAGAAGAUCAGCCCAUGCUGCCACGAGGGCCAGCCACCCGGAGAGCAAUCACAGUGAGCCGGAGAACAGGUGCUUCCUCUUCCUGCCGUUUGGGGACCUGCCACUUUGCCUUUUGAUGAUUGUCAGGUAUGGACCAUAGGUCCAUUAUAAUUGUUUGGAAACAGCUCCUUCCUUGAAUUGCUUUGGAAUUAAACAUGAAACAACAAUUGAGGACUGCUUGACACACAGUCAGCCAACCAUCGGCAACAUCAGCCUCAACCACACCGUUCAGGGCACUACCACCUCUAUGUCCUCCGAGAAGUUCCCAGAAUUCCAAACGUCACACCCUCACGGAAACUCUCUGAGGCCGGCAAAACCACAGCGCUGCUAGAGCACGAGGCAAAUCAUAGUCAGCCGCUGUGAAGUGGCCUUUUAUUCCCACACCUGGGAUGAAAAGGAAAAUAUACUUCCAUAACAUGUGUGUGUGUGUGUGUGUGUGUGUGUGUGUGUGUGUUUUAAGAAACCAAAAUUACAAAAUCUCACUACAGGGUACCAGAGAGAAGCAUGGGCAAAGUGUGAUUCCAGAGAAGCUUAGGGACAUGUGGCAUCCUUCAUUAAAGGUCCCAAUGACACAGCUCUGCCAUUUGGAAGAAGAUGCUUGGCCCAGAUAAGGGGACAGAGGGAACAAGUGCCUCCUCCCAGCUACUGAGGAGCCUUUGGCACAGGCCCCCACGGGACUCUGUGGUAGGCUCAACAGAAGGCUAAAAGCAGAAGGAUGGAGAGUUCUAGGUCAGGCUGAGCUACAUGGUGAGACUGCCCAAAAGAUAAAAAAUGAAGAUGGAGGCAGAGGAAUUUUUAUACCGUGGAACAGCUAGAUAUUUCCAGGAGGACGUGUUCAGAUCUAGCACUUGUUCAGAUCUUUGGAGUCUCGUUUGAUGAAGGAAGUCAGAUGUCCAGAUAAUUUUUGCAAACUUUUUCAGUGGUGAGAAAUCUUGGUGCAGUUGUGUGUCCUUAAGACGGCAUGCUGGAGCCCUAACCCUGCAGGCCUCAGGAUAUGACCCAGUGGGAAAGAGGAUCUUCAGAGGUAGCCAAACCCAGAAAGGUCAUGCUCUGACCCCAAUCCACAGCCUGUGUCCUUUCCUUGUCAUAGGAAACUCGGGACACACGAAAACACAUGGAGGAGAAGUAGUGGAAAAGCACACAGGGAGUAGAGUAGCAUGAGGCAUGGCCUGGAGACAUGUGGCCAUGGCCGAAGAGCACUCAUGACCCCGUGCACUCUGACUUAGGGACCUAUUGGUUAGGCUGCCAGACAGAGGGUACCACUCCAGAAGACACAGGAAUUCACACACCACCCAGCAACACGUGCUUGUGGUCUUCUAGGCCAAGCACACACCCGCAUGUCUAUGCGCUGGACUUGGCACAUGCACAGAGCUUAACCCAUCUCAGACCCAUUCCCACCUGCUGCUGAGCCUUUUCUUCCACCACCGUGAACAUGAGCCAACUUCUGUCCUUACCUGACCAUUACUCCUCCUCCUCCUAGCCCAGAACCAUAAAAAAAUAAAGUGUGACGAUUGGCCUUCAUGUUCUCAACACGAUGUGGAGCAGAGUGACAUGGAGGAGGAGCCCGUGGCACAUCGGCCACCAGCUUACACUGUCCUUCCCCAUCAUUAGGGAGUUCUUCAAUCAAUAUCAAACGGAAACAGUCCCCUUUGAAUUUAU